GAGUGAUCGAAAGAUGAAAAGCACUUUGAAAAGAGAGUUAAACAGCACGUGAAAUUGUUGAAAGGGAAGCGUUUGCGACCAGACUCGCCCGCGGGGUUCAGCCGGCACUCGUGCCGGUGUACWUCCCCGUGGGCGGGCCAGCGUCGGUUUGGGCGGCCGGUCAAAGGCCCWCGGAAUGUAUCACCWCUCGGGGUGUCWUAUAGCCGAGGGUGCAAUGCGGCCU
This 223-nucleotide ribosomal RNA is filed under the name Aspergillus fumigatus. Its description in RNAcentral is "partial large subunit ribosomal RNA". It matches the Rfam family "Eukaryotic large subunit ribosomal RNA", at positions 351 to 581 of the family's 3401-position model. Lineage: Eukaryota; Fungi; Ascomycota; Eurotiomycetes; Eurotiales; Aspergillaceae. The record is from RNAcentral.